RNAcentral lists this ribosomal RNA (253 nucleotides) under uncultured bacterium. RNAcentral describes it as "partial 16S ribosomal RNA". It matches the Rfam family "Bacterial small subunit ribosomal RNA", at positions 524 to 776 of the family's 1533-position model. The record is from RNAcentral.
UACAGAGGUCCCGAGCGUUGUUCGGAUUCAUUGGGCGUAAAGGGUGCGUAGGUGGCAGGGUAAGUCGGAUGUGAAAUCCCGGGGCUCAACCUCGGAACUGCAUUCGAUACUGCUUUGCUUGAGUACUGGAGAGGAGAUUGGAAUUUACGGUGUAGCAGUGAAAUGCGUAGAUAUCGUAAGGAAGACCAGUGGCGAAGGCGGAUCUCUGGACAGUUACUGACACUGAGGCACGAAGGCCAGGGGAGCAAACGGG